Molecule: ribosomal RNA, 467 nt
Filed under: uncultured bacterium
Lineage: Bacteria
Description: partial 16S ribosomal RNA
Rfam family: Bacterial small subunit ribosomal RNA
Source: RNAcentral
GACGAACGCUGGCGGCGUGCUUAACACAUGCAAGUCGAACGGAAAGGCCCUGCUUUUGUGGGGUGCUCGAGUGGCGAACGGGUGAGUAACACGUGAGUAACCUGCCCUUGACUUUGGGAUAACUUCAGGAAACUGGGGCUAAUACCGGAUAGGAGCUCCUGCUGCAUGGUGGGGGUUGGAAAGUUUCGGCGGUUGGGGAUGGACUCGCGGCUUAUCAGCUUGUUGGUGGGGUAGUGGCUUACCAAGGCUUUGACGGGUAGCCGGCCUGAGAGGGUGACCGGCCACAUUGGGACUGAGAUACGGCCCAGACUCCUACGGGAGGCAGCAGUGGGGAAUAUUGCACAAGGGGCGGAAGCCUGAGGCAGCAACGCCGCGUGCGGGAUGACGGCCUUCGGGUGGUAAACCGCUUUCGCCUGUGACGAAGCGUGAGGGACGGGAAUGGGGAAAGAAGCACCGGCUAACUACGU